RNAcentral lists this ribosomal RNA (438 nucleotides) under Lethocerus sp. MBH-2004. Its description in RNAcentral is "partial 16S ribosomal RNA". It matches the Rfam family "Archaeal large subunit ribosomal RNA", at positions 1953 to 2592 of the family's 2987-position model. The record is from RNAcentral. Lineage: Eukaryota; Metazoa; Arthropoda; Insecta; Hemiptera; Belostomatidae.
GUCCUUUUGGUAUUUAUUUAAGGUCUAACCUGCCCAAUGAUUUUUUAAUGGCCGCGGUAAUUUGACCGUGCAAAGGUAGCAUAAUCACUUGUCUCUUAAUUGGAGGCUAGAAUGAAUGGUUGGACGAGAUAUAUACUUUCUUUUUUAUAUUCUAUUGAAUUUAAUUUUUGAGUCAAAAAGCUUAAAUUUUUUUAUAGGACGAGAAGACCCUGUAGAAUUUUAUAUUAAUGUAAUUUUAGUUCUUUUUGUAUUAUUAUUGGUUCUUUUAUUAUUUUAGUAUUUUGUUGGGGCGACAGGAAGAUUUUUUUAACUCUUUUUUCUUUUUUCAUUGAUUUAUGUUUUGUUUUUGAUCCUUUAUUAAAGAUUAUAAGAUUAAAUUACCUCAGGGAUAACAGCGUAAUCCUUUUGGAGAGCUCUUAUCGAUAAAAGGGUUUGCGA